UCUCCGUUGGUGAACCAGCGGAGGGAUCAUUACAGAGAACAGACGCCGCGCCGGUCCUCCGGGGCCGUCGCGUCUAUGUCCUGCACACCUGUUGUUUUACCGCCUGCCGGGCCGUGUUGCCUCGGCGGGGAAAGGGCCCCGUCUUUUCGCCGGAGCCCGGACCCCGCCGAAGGUACCGCCCAAAAAACUCAUGUUAAUCUUAAGGACCUUCUGAGAAAACUUAUAAAUAAGUAAAAACUUUCAACAACGGAUCUCUUGGUUAUGGCAUCGAUGAAGAACGCAGC
Molecule: unclassified non-coding RNA, 284 nt
Filed under: uncultured fungus
Lineage: Eukaryota; Fungi
Description: sequence contains ITS1, 5.8S rRNA gene
Rfam family: 5.8S ribosomal RNA (bases 236-284)
Source: RNAcentral